RNAcentral lists this unclassified non-coding RNA (293 nucleotides) under Calyptella capula. Its description in RNAcentral is "sequence contains 5.8S rRNA gene". The record is from RNAcentral. Lineage: Eukaryota; Fungi; Basidiomycota; Agaricomycetes; Agaricales; Porotheleaceae.
GAACGCACCUUGCACUCUUUGGUAUUCCGAAGAGUAUGCUUGUUUGAGUAUCAUUAAAUUCUCAAACCACUACUUGGUUUUAUAUCAAGUCAGUGGCUUUGGAUGUGGAGGUUGCAGGCUUCUUGUAAAGUCUGCUCUUCUUAAAAGCAUUAGUGGUUAUUGAUUCCACUUCUUGGUGUGAUAAUAUCUACGCCUUGUAAGAACGGAUCUAAUGUAACUGCUCUCAAACCGUCUUUAUUGACAAUUUGAACCAUUUGAUCUCAAAUCAAGUAGGACUACCCGCUGAACUUAAG